This 495-nucleotide ribosomal RNA is filed under the name uncultured bacterium. Its description in RNAcentral is "partial 16S ribosomal RNA". It matches the Rfam family "Bacterial small subunit ribosomal RNA", at positions 28 to 507 of the family's 1533-position model. The record is from RNAcentral.
GACGAACGCUGGCGGCGUGCCUAAUACAUGCAAGUAGAACGCUGAAGGCGGAGCUUGCUCUUCUGGAUGAGUUGCGAACGGGUGAGUAACGCGUAGGUAACCUGCCUGGUAGCGGGGGAUAACUAUUGGAAACGAUAGCUAAUACCGCAUAAGAGUAGAUGUUGCAUGACAUUUGCUUAAAAGGUGCAAUUGCAUCACUACCAGAUGGACCUGCGUUGUAUUAGCUAGUUGGUGGGGUAACGGCUCACCAAGGCGACGAUACAUAGCCGACCUGAGAGGGUGAUCGGCCACACUGGGACGGUGACACGGCCCAGAGGCAUACGGGAGGCAGCAGGAGGGAAUCUUCGGCAAUGGACGGAAGUCUGACCGAGCAACGCCGCGGGAGUGAAGAAGGGUUUCGGAUCGGAAAGCUCUGUUGUAAGAGAAGAACGAGUGUGAGAGUGGAAAGUUCACACUGUGACGGUAUCUUACCAGAAAGGGACGGCUAACUACGUG